CCUGCGGAGGGAUCAUUACCGAGUUUACAACUCCCAAACCCCUGUGAACAUACCAAUUGUUGCCUCGGCGGAUCAGCCCGCUCCCGGUAAAACGGGACGGCCCGCCAGAGGACCCCUAAACUCUGUUUCUAUAUGUAACUUCUGAGUAAAACCAUAAAUAAAUCAAAACUUUCAACAACGGAUCUCUUGGUUCUGGCAUCGAUGAAGAACGCAGCAAAAUGCGAUAAGUAAUGUGAAUUGCAGAAUUCAGUGAAUCAUCGAAUCUUUGAACGCACAUUGCGCCCGCCAGUAUUCUGGCGGGCAUGCCUGUUCGAGCGUCAUUUCAACCCUCAAGCCCAGCUUGGUGUUGGGACUCGCGAGUCAAAUCGCGUUCCCCAAAUUGAUUGGCGGUCACGUCGAGCUUCCAUAGCGUAGUAGUAAAACCCUCGUUACUGGUAAUCGUCGCGGCCACGCCGUUAAACCCCAACUUCUGAAUGUGACCUCGGAUCAGGUAGAAUCUC
Molecule: ribosomal RNA, 500 nt
Filed under: Fusarium fujikuroi
Lineage: Eukaryota; Fungi; Ascomycota; Sordariomycetes; Hypocreales; Nectriaceae
Description: eukaryotic LSU rRNA
Rfam family: 5.8S ribosomal RNA (bases 167-320)
Source: RNAcentral